This 358-nucleotide ribosomal RNA is filed under the name Haptophyta environmental samples. Its description in RNAcentral is "SSU rRNA". It matches the Rfam family "Eukaryotic small subunit ribosomal RNA", at positions 595 to 957 of the family's 1831-position model. The record is from RNAcentral. Lineage: Eukaryota; Haptophyta.
UAGCGUAUAUUAAAGUUGUUGCAGUUAGAACGCUCGUAGUCGGAUUUCGGGGCGGGCCGACCGGUCUGCCGAUGGGUAUGUACUGGCCGGCGCGUCCUUCCUUCCGGAGACCGUGCCUACUCUUAACUGAGCGGGGGCGGGAGACGGGACUUUUACUUUGAAAAAAUCAGAGUGUUUCAAGCAGGCAGCUCGCUCUUGCAUGGAUUAGCAUGGGAUAAUAAAAUAGGACUUUGGUGCUAUUUUGUUGGUUUCGAACACCGAAGUAAUGAUGAGAAGGGACAGUCAGGGGCACUCGUAUUUUGCCGAGAGAGGUGAAAUUCUCAGACCAGCGAAAGACGAACCACUGCGAAAGCAUUUG